UACAUGGGGUGCAAACGUUGCUCGGAAUUACUGGGCGUAAAGCGUGCGCAGGCGGCUUUGCAAGACAGAUGUGAAAUCCCCGGGCUCAACCUGGGAACUGCAUUUGUGACUGCAUGGCUAGAGUGCGGCAGAGGGGGAUGGAAUUCCGCGUGUAGCAGUGAAAUGCGUAGAUAUGCGGAGGAACACCGAUGGCGAAGGCAAUCCCCUGGGCCUGCACUGACGCUCAUGCACGAAAGCGUGGGGAGCAAACAGG
RNAcentral lists this ribosomal RNA (253 nucleotides) under uncultured bacterium. Its description in RNAcentral is "partial 16S ribosomal RNA". It matches the Rfam family "Bacterial small subunit ribosomal RNA", at positions 524 to 776 of the family's 1533-position model. The record is from RNAcentral.